CAGUAGCCACGGGAAUACGUAGGUGGCGAGCGUUGUCCGGAAUCACUGGGCGUAAAGGGUGCGUAGGCGGGUCUUUAAGUCAGGGGUGAAAUCCUGGAGCUCAACCCCAGAACUGCCUUUGAUACUGAAGAUCUUGAGUAUGGAAGAGGUGAGUGGAAUUCCGAGUGUAGAGGUGAAAUUCGUAGAUAUUCGGAGGAACACCAGUGGCGAGGGCGGCUCACUGGUCCAUUACUGACGCUGAGGUGCGAAAGCGUGGGGAGCAAACAGGAUUAGAUACCCCUGUAGUCCCUGUCUCUUAUAC
Molecule: ribosomal RNA, 301 nt
Filed under: uncultured bacterium
Lineage: Bacteria
Description: partial 16S ribosomal RNA
Rfam family: Bacterial small subunit ribosomal RNA
Source: RNAcentral